Cyprinus carpio (common carp) is the source of this 3677-nucleotide RNA transcript. It is a transcript of the gene named transcription elongation regulator 1 like, with no coding region annotated. The record is from RefSeq and is a predicted model, not a curated record. Lineage: Eukaryota; Metazoa; Chordata; Actinopteri; Cypriniformes; Cyprinidae.
UGUGCUGCGCACGGCGCCAUCAGAUCCGCUCAGAAAGCAAAUGCACCCGGUCUGGACUGCCAGGAGGACUUUCAGCAGAGCAGAAACACAGUCGAAUCUGAUCAUCAUCGAGGAUUGUCUACAGAACAUACACAAGUUCUACAAGCAUGAAUGAGAAACAGAGGAUUAUAAUGUAAUGAGGGGUGAUUUUGCGAUGCUUUACGAGGCACCACUGUGGGAGGCUGAAGAAUCAUCGGCUUGACAGUGAACAGAUUUCCACGAGAUUCCCACGGAGCUCUUGUGAGCGAGAUGAACAACCCGCUGGUGUGAUCGUGCACAUGGAAAGCGCGAUCCACGGCGCGUGAACGCACGCACGGAGAUCCGUGUAUUCUUUGCGCUUUGGACACUUUGGACACCUUUCUUACCGGAUAUUCUAAGAAAUCUUUGUCUGUAGAUACGUUUUCAUAUUUAACUUAUCUGUUUGUAUUUCGCGUCUUUUAUUUAUUUCCAGCGAAACACUAACAGACAAAUUAUGAUGAACUAAAGGGAUUUUUCAAACCCCUCAUAAUAUAGUGUCACUGCACGGACAGCUUUCUUGGUAUCCAUCCAUCCUUCUUUUGAGCUAUAUAGGAUGCAGCAGUAAUGAUCCCGGUCCAGCGCGUUAAAGCUCAGCCUCAGCUGUGGCACGUGAGCGCCGAAGCUCCUCCGUGGCUCUGGAUGGUCCCGAACACCUCCGGAAUGUGUAGGGUGGGUUCUGCUCCUCCCGUGCUCAUCUCCUCUCGCCCUCCUCCGGUGAUUCAGACGGUCUCGGGAUGGCAGAUGUCCUGCGAUCCGUUUGUGCCUGUGAUGCGCGCUGCCGCCGCGGAACCCGCGACCAUCAGUCAGUUCAGUCUGCCCAGUGUUCAGUGGGAGAUCCCGUCCAGGCCUCAUGUGUUGGGUUUCCAACCUUCUGCAAGUGUGGAUCUACUUCCAGUGUUUCCUCAUGUAUACCGGAGAGUCCUGCCUCCACAUUACGGCAAGGGCUGGGUGGAGAAACGUGUGCCUGACUACAAGUUUUAUCUAAACAACACCUUAGCUCUUGAGACCACCUGGAUCAGUCCAGAGGAAAUGGGAAUUUUCCAGCAUCAGGAAAAGCCACUGCUGCGGACAAAUCAAACAGCGUUGAGCAUAUGUAGGCCAGCUGCAGCCUCCAGGAAUAUCCACACUCUACUUUUGACACCCAGGCGCGUUUCAGGUUGUCCCGUGUCCAUUAAGCGAGUAGGAAGUUCUAAACGGAUCGCUCUGGCAGCAGCAGCCAUGAUGGCGAUGGAUUCUGACGUGACACAGGGACCAUCUGUCUCUUCUGCUCACCCUCUCCACCUGCUCUCGCUCUCACCCAUCAAGAUUCCCUUUCUGACAGCACCUCACGCAGGAACACGGAGAAGCUGGGAAGGCUUGCUGGGACCCGUCUUGCCCUCUCGGAUCACAGCAGUAACAUCACUCACUGCUCCUGGAGUGACCCUACUUACUGGAAACUGGAAAAAGCAGAGAUCAACAGAUAAGAUUUUGGAAUUGAAGAAGCCAUCCUGCACAGACGCCUUAGUGCUCCGCCGUAAUCCAAACCCAGAGGCUAAAACUGAGGAUGGGGCUUUUAAAGUCAGUAUGGACGAGGACAGCUCACUCAAAGACAAGCGGCCAGUUGCAUCUUCGCCUAUACCUGGAUCACCAUGGUGUGUAGUGUGGACAGGUGACGACAGGGUGUUUUUCUUCAAUCCCACCAUGCAUUUGUCAGUAUGGGAGAAACCAAUUGAUCUGAAAGACCGUGGAGACCUCAAUCGAAUCAUCGAGGACCCGCCACAUAAACGCAAGAAAGACUCUUCAGACGAUGGCUCAAAUGCUGAUGCUGAUGAUGACGAUGAUGAUGAAGAGGAACAUAGUUUAAAGACCAAACGCUAUAAACUGGACCAUCCUGUUGAGUGUGAAGGAAAAAAUGGAUCAUCUCUUCGGAUGGUUUUGCCACUGGAGCACCGGAUCGGCCACUUCAGAGACAUGCUUCUGGAAAGAGGGGUGUCUGCGUUCUCCACCUGGGAGAAAGAACUGCACAAAAUUGUAUUUGAUCCACGGUACCUGCUGCUAAGUCCAGAAGAACGAAAGCAGAUUUAUGAUCAGUUUGUCAAAGCAAGAAUGAAAGAGGAGCACAAAGAGAAAAAGUGCAAACUCCAGCAAGCGAAAGAAGAGUACAGAAAACUGCUAGAGGAAUCAAAAGUCACAUCCAGGUCGACGUUCAAAGAAUUUUCAGAAAAGUACGGAAAAGAUCCACGAUUCAAACAGGUUCUGAAGAGGAAAGACCAGGAGCUGUUUUUCACCCAGUUCAUCAACGUGUUAAAGAAGCGGGACAAGGAGAACAGAAUUCGUCUGAAGAAGAUGAGAUGAGUGUUUGCAGACAGGGCUGUGAACUUAGUUCCUGUGACUGUUUAUCACAGUUUAUACCGUGAUACCAUCUGCCCACAUGUCUGACCAAACCACAAGGGCAGUUUGCUUUUCAAUGACUUGACUUUUGAACAAACGAACAAAGGCAAAACCAACUGAGUAUAAGCAGCAGUUUGGAAAUGAAGUCUGUAUAUCUGAAUGUGUUUCAUAUUGAAGCUCUUAAACUCCGGUUUGAGUAUUACAAGUUUCCUAAAUCACAACACUGAAUACAAAUACAGAGUUUGACUCGUUGGAAGUAUCUAAAGCCAUUGACCUGUGCACACAGGUGGAAAAUGAUUUUUAUAUUAAUUGUACAUAAGUGUUGACUUGCCUGGCGCUGUGCUAAAAGUGACCCAUUUUGUCAGAGUGUGACACAGGUUCUCCACAGCAUCUGUGAGAAUUGGUGGGGAAAAAAAACAACAGAAUUUGAUGUAAACUGCAAAAUGCAAACUUGAACCUGCAAGAAGAAGAAGAAAAAAAAAUUCUCAUUUUAAAUCUCACGUACGUAUACAUAUACGUAUGUUAUCAUGUUGACAUUUUUCACAGUGUUAAAUUAUUAUUUUUUUAAUUAAAUAAAAAAGUCAUUUUUACUGUAAUACCUCAGUUAAGAGCUUUCAAUCUGCAAACAUUUUAUUCAUAAUCAUUUUUGUUGAUAUUCAAAUAAGUUGUAUUGUGGAAGAGUAAAAAAAAAGUGAUUUUCAAAUAAACAAAUUUCUGAUUAUACAUGUAUUAAACAUGACUCUAGCAAAUGCUCACACAAUCUUCCAGGCCACAGAAAACAUUAACGGUUCCUUCAUUAACUUUGACACACCAGAAGAAAUGCAGGCUUAAUAUUCAAUAUCAUGUGUUCCUAGAUGUUUCAGACAAAAUUAGAAUUUGAUGUGCCUAAUUAAUUGUUGAUAAAUAUUUGUUGCAGUGCACACAUUUGUCACAUUAACAAAAACUAUUUCUCAGGCAUCAAAUUUAAAACAUGAUCACUCUUUUGUAUACACACUCUUGUUUGGAUUGCCAUGUUCAUACUGUUUUUGGAAAGGACAUUGGGUGUCUUCAGUGAAGCACUUUGGUUUAACGUUGUGGCCUGUUUUCAGCUGUAUUGCUUGCAAACACAAAGCUCAAAUAACCAACAACAAAGACUGUGUUUCAAUAGCAGCACCAUUAUUACUUUAACACCAGAGACAAUAAGACAAAAAAGGCUGAAUAUGUAAUCAACAUGAUACUAAGGCUGAAAAUAAACUUGCAUUUUUUUUUUU